UCCGCUUAAAGUUGCAUCAGCGAUUUUUAGCGGAUGUGUGAAGAGGGUGUUAGAGUCAUGGGAAGUAUGGCUGGCCGGUGUAACUGUGCAAGAUAACGACAUUUUUAGAAAAACCUUAUUUUCUCGAAAUCUGUAGGUUUAAUUGGCAAAAGAAUUAAAAAAUAAGAAAAGCCCUGUGAUCCCGAUCGAGGUUUUCAAACAUCGAUGUUCCAUCACUGCUUGGCAGAUAAGAAUCUUGAUCUCGACAAAUAUUGGUGUUGUCGGCGCUUCGAUAUGGAGAAGAUCGCCAACACCAGAAUCCACAGCAGAGUCGGACCUAUUAUUCAGUUGUUUACAAACUAAUCAAACUCAAAAAAUUCAUAGCGGUCGCGCGGAUUCCAUAUUGGCUUUGCAGCAAUACUUGAAUGCGAGUAAUUUGAACCCUGCCCAAAACCCUUUGGAUUAUUGGAAGAUAUCAAAUGACGCCGGAUUCAAAACAUGCGUUUUUAAAUACUUCUGCGUACCGGCCACCUCUACUGAAAGUGAGAGGAUGUUCAGUAAAGCUGGACUACUUGUAAGCGAGAAGAGAAUAUGAUUUAAUUCCUAAACAAAAAUGAUUGGAUAAUUUAGUUUUAGUUAUGUUAUUUUUUUCUUAUUUUUUUAGUAGAACUUUAUACUGUUUUUUAAUUUAUUUUUAAUUGAAUUGUGAUUUAAUUUUACUUUUUGUGUUGAACGAGUAGUUUAAGUCUCACUUUGAAUUUGCAGGACACAAAAACAGAAAACAAUGGAUCUUAAAUAAAGCAUAAUUUUUUAUAAUGAA
Molecule: long non-coding RNA, 799 nt
Organism: Drosophila subpulchrella
Lineage: Eukaryota; Metazoa; Arthropoda; Insecta; Diptera; Drosophilidae
Exons: 3
Source: RefSeq, a predicted model, not a curated record